Myxocyprinus asiaticus (Chinese sucker) is the source of this 927-nucleotide long non-coding RNA. RefSeq lists it as uncharacterized. The record is from RefSeq and is a predicted model, not a curated record. The transcript has 3 exons. Lineage: Eukaryota; Metazoa; Chordata; Actinopteri; Cypriniformes; Catostomidae.
ACUCUGCACUGCUCUGUUGCAACUCUGGGAAAUUGAGUCAAAGAGUAUUUAGCAGAGACGGGCCAUUUCUAUUAAACUGAAUGGGAGAAAUUGGAACGCUCAACGGUCAACGGAUGUAGAAAGGAAGUCCCGCCUUACAGUAGAUAGGAGCUGCACUGGCAUGACUGGAAAUAGCCUCCCGGGAGCUUUCCAAAGAUGGCCGCCAGUGGACUGACUUGAUUGAGUUUUCUGCUCUUCGAAAGCGGAAGCGAAAUAAUGCACAGAACGAGCAGUAUGGCUGGUGGCAUUGUCAUGCUGGAGGGUCAUUUCAGGAUGAGCCUGCAGGAAGGGUACCACAUGAGGGAGGAGGAUGUCUUCCCUGUAACGCACAGCAUUGAGACUGCUUACAAUGACAACAAGCGCAGUCCGAUGAUGCUGUGACACACCGCCCCAGACCAUGACGGACCAGUCCAACAGUCCAGCCUAUUGCGGACAGUCUGAGCACUGAUGGAGGGAUUGUGCAUUCCUGGUGUAACUCGGGCAGUUGUUGUUACCAUCCUGUACCCGUCUCACAGGUGUGAUAUUCGAUGUACCGAUCCUGUGCAGGUGUUGUUACACGUGGUCUGCCACUGUGAGGACGAUCAGCUGUCCUUCCAGUCUCCCUGUAGCACUGUCUUAAGUGUCUCACAGUAUGGACUUUGCAAUUUAUUGCUCUGGCCACAUCUGCAGUACUCAUGCCUCCAUGCAGCAUGCCUAAGGCACGUUCACGUAGAGGAGCAGGGACCCUGGGCAUCUUUCUUUUGGUGUUUUUCAGAGUCAGUAGAAAGGUCUCUUUAGUGUCCUAAGUUUUUAUAACUGUGACCUUAAUUGCCUACCAUCUGUAAGCUGUUAGUGUCUUAACGACCGUUCCACAGGUGCAUGUUCAUUAAUUGUUUAUGGUUCAUUGAA